GAUGAACGCUGGCGGCGUGCCUAAUACAUGCAAGUCGAGCGAACAGACGAGGAGCUUGCUCCUCUGACGUUAGCGGCGGACGGGUGAGUAACACGUGGAUAACCUACCUAUAAGACUGGGAUAACUUCGGGAAACCGGAGCUAAUACCGGAUAACAUGUAGAACCGCAUGGUUCAACAGUGAAAGACGGUCUUGCUGUCACUUAUAGAUGGAUCCGCGCCGCAUUAGCUAGUUGGUAAGGUAACGGCUUACCAAGGCAACGAUGCGUAGCCGACCUGAGAGGGUGAUCGGCCACACUGGAACUGAGACACGGUCCAGACUCCUACGGGAGGCAGCAGUAGGGAAUCUUCCGCAAUGGGCGAAAGCCUGACGGAGCAACGCCGCGUGAGUGAAGAAGGUCUUCGGAUCGUAAAACUCUGUUAUUAGGGAAGAACAAAUGUGUAAGUAACUAUGCACGUCUUGACGGUACCUAAUCAGAAAGCCACGGCUAACUACGUG
This 497-nucleotide ribosomal RNA is filed under the name uncultured bacterium. Its description in RNAcentral is "partial 16S ribosomal RNA". It matches the Rfam family "Bacterial small subunit ribosomal RNA", at positions 28 to 507 of the family's 1533-position model. The record is from RNAcentral.